RNAcentral lists this small RNA (925 nucleotides) under Pongo abelii (Sumatran orangutan). RNAcentral's name for it is "processed transcript". Lineage: Eukaryota; Metazoa; Chordata; Mammalia; Primates; Hominidae. The record is from RNAcentral.
UGUGGCUGUUUGUCUCCUUGCCUGCCAAAGUUCUGCCCAGUUCAACGACUCCACGCAGCUCGCCCUUGGCGAACAGUUGUCUCCAAACGUGGUGUUGCCGUCAGUGGUCCCACCAAGAGGAGGGGAAUGGCAGAUUCACUGGAGUCAACCCCCUUGCCUUCCCUCGAAGAUCGUCUGGCCAAACUCUGUCCUUCUAAGGAGCUCCUGGAAUAUUUUCAAAGGAAGAUGGCUGAGUGUGAGGCAGAAAAUGAGGACUUGCUGAAGAAACUGGAACUCUACAAAGAAGCUUGUGAAGGACAGCAUAAACUUGAAUGUGAUUUGCAGCAGAGGGAGGAAGAGAUUGCUGAAUUGCAGAAAGCUCUAAGUGAUAUGCAGGUCUGCCUCUUCCAGGAACGGGAACAUGUUUUACGCCUCUACUCAGAAAAUGACCAACUGAGAAUCAGGGAGCUAGAAGACAAGAAAAAGAUUCAGAAUCUCUUGGCUCUUGUGGGAACAGAUGCUGGAGAAGUGACCUAUUUUUGUAAGGAGCCUCCUCACAAAGUCACCAUUCUCCAAAAGACUAUCCAGGCUGUAGGUGAAUGUGAGCAGAAUGAAUCUUCAGCUUUCAAAGCAGAUCCUAAAAUAAGCAAAAGAAGACCAUCGAGAGAGAGAAAAGAAAGUUCUGAGCAUUACCAAAGAGACAUACAGACACUCAUCCUACAGGUGGAAGCACUGCAGGCUCAGCUGGGAGAGCAGACCAAACUUUCUCGAGAACAAAUUGAAGGGCUCAUGGAGGAUAGACGGAUUCACCUUGAGGAAAUACAAGUUCAGCACCAGAGAAAUCAGAACAAAAUCAAAGAGCUAACCAAAAACGGGUCAUAGAACUAAAGGGAGCCUUGAAAAAAUUGUGUUCCUCAGAAACCCCUGCCUCUACGUAGGUGAGUAU